UUGACCUCAAAUCAGGUAGGACUACCCGCUGAACUUAAGCAUAUCAAUAAGCGGAGGAAAAGAAACUAACAAGGAUUCCCCUAGUAACUGCGAGUGAAGCGGGAAAAGCUCAAAUUUAAAAUCUGGCGGUCUAUGGCUGUCCGAGUUGUAAUCUAGAGAAGUAAUGCCCGCGCUGGACCGUGUACAAGUCUCCUGGAAUGGAGCGUCAUAGAGGGUGAGAAUCCCGUCUUUGACACGGACUACCAGGGCUUUGUGGUAUGCUCUCAAAGAGUCGAGUUGUUUGGGAAUGCAGCUCUAAAUGGGUGGUAAAUUCCAUCUAAAGCUAAAUAUUGGCGAGAGACCGAUAGCGAACAAGUACCGUGAGGGAAAGAUGAAAAGAACUUUGGAAAGAGAGUUAAACAGUACGUGAAAUUGCUGAAAGGGAAACGCUUGAAGUCAGUCGCGUUGACUAGAACUCAGCUUCACUUUUGUGGGGUGUACUUUUUAGUUGACGGGUCAGCAUCAAUUCUGACUGCUGGAAAAAGGCUUAGGGAAUGUGGCAGCUCCGGCUGUGUUAUAGCCCUUUGUCACAUAC
RNAcentral lists this ribosomal RNA (574 nucleotides) under Apioperdon pyriforme. RNAcentral's name for it is "eukaryotic LSU rRNA". It matches the Rfam family "Eukaryotic large subunit ribosomal RNA", at positions 1 to 574 of the family's 3401-position model. The record is from RNAcentral. Lineage: Eukaryota; Fungi; Basidiomycota; Agaricomycetes; Agaricales; Lycoperdaceae.